GACGAACGCUGGCGGCGUGCUUAACACAUGCAAGUCGAACGGAAAGGCCCUGCUUUUGUGGGGUGCUCGAGUGGCGAACGGGUGAGUAACACGUGAGUAACCUGCCCUUGACUUUGGUAUAACUUCAGGAAACUGGGGCUAAUACCGGAUAGGAGCUCCUGCUGCAUGGUGGGGGUUGGAUAGUUUCGGCGGUUGGGGAUGGACUCGCGGCUUAUCAGCUUGUUGGUGGGGUAGUGGCUUACCAAGGCUUUGACGGGUAGCCGGCCUGAGAGGGUGACCGGCCACAUUGGGACUGAGAGACGGCGCAGACUGCUACGGGAGGCAGCAGGGGGGAAUAUUGCACAAUGGGCGGAAGCCUGAUGCAGAAACGCCGCGUGCGGGAUGACGGCCUUCGGGGUGUAAAACGCUUUCGCCUGUGACGAAGCGGGAGUGACGGUAAUGGGUAAAGAAGCACCGGCUAACUACGUG
Molecule: ribosomal RNA, 468 nt
Filed under: uncultured bacterium
Lineage: Bacteria
Description: partial 16S ribosomal RNA
Rfam family: Bacterial small subunit ribosomal RNA
Source: RNAcentral